AAUCGAUACUCCCUCAUACACCCGACCACUUCUUGCCAUGGACAGCCUACAUACCGCCGUCGCCAGCUCACCUCCUCUGAGAGCACUACAGUGAGCACAACCGCCCUACAUUUUCUAAUCUAGAAAAUCCCACGAAAAGGGGCAUGAAAUAGCCCCUAGAAGGCGGAUUUAGCAGUAAAGAGGGAUAAUAUAAGCCCCCUUUAAGCUGGCUCUGGGGCACGUACACACCGCCCGUCACACUCA
Molecule: ribosomal RNA, 243 nt
Filed under: Columba livia (rock pigeon)
Lineage: Eukaryota; Metazoa; Chordata; Aves; Columbiformes; Columbidae
Description: partial small subunit ribosomal RNA
Source: RNAcentral